RNAcentral lists this ribosomal RNA (253 nucleotides) under uncultured bacterium. RNAcentral describes it as "partial 16S ribosomal RNA". It matches the Rfam family "Bacterial small subunit ribosomal RNA", at positions 524 to 776 of the family's 1533-position model. The record is from RNAcentral.
UACGGAGGGAGCUAGCGUUGUUCGGAAUUACUGGGCGUAAAGCGCACGUAGGCGGCUUUGCAAGUUAGAGGUGAAAGCCCGGGGCUCAACUCCGGAAUUGCCUUUAAAACUGCAUCGCUAGAGUUGUGGAGAGGUAAGUGGAAUUCCGAGUGUAGAGGUGAAAUGCGUAGAGAUGUGGAGGAACACCAGUGGCGAAGGCGACUCUUUGGCCUGUAACUGACGCUGAGGCGCGAAAGCGUGGGGAGCAAACAGG